UACGGAGGGUGCGAGCGUUGUCCGGAAUCACUGGGCGUAAAGGGCGCGUAGGCGGCUACUUAAGCGUGUGGUGAAAGUCCGGGGCUCAACCCCGGAUCGGCCGUGCGAACUGAGUGGCUCGAGCACGGUAGAGGCAGGUGGAAUUCCGGGUGUAGCGGUGGAAUGCGUAGAGAUCCGGAAGAACACCGGUGGCGAAGGCGGCCUGCUGGGCAGUGGCUGACGCUGAGGCGCGACAGCGUGGGGAGCAAACAGG
Molecule: ribosomal RNA, 253 nt
Filed under: uncultured bacterium
Lineage: Bacteria
Description: partial 16S ribosomal RNA
Rfam family: Bacterial small subunit ribosomal RNA
Source: RNAcentral